GCCUUUUUAGUUUAUGAGUAAAAUUUAAUUUUGAAGAGAUUAAGAGUAGGGGGCG
RNAcentral lists this transfer RNA (55 nucleotides) under Oxyuris equi. RNAcentral's name for it is "tRNA-Phe". The record is from RNAcentral. Lineage: Eukaryota; Metazoa; Nematoda; Chromadorea; Rhabditida; Oxyuridae.